This 276-nucleotide ribosomal RNA is filed under the name Triticum aestivum (bread wheat). RNAcentral describes it as "partial small subunit ribosomal RNA". The record is from RNAcentral. Lineage: Eukaryota; Viridiplantae; Streptophyta; Magnoliopsida; Poales; Poaceae.
UUAGAAACAUUGUUUGCAGGCUCAGAUGUUGAUGACAUGGAGCACGACGAAUUGGAAGACUCAAGUCAAAAUAACUAUGACGAUCAUGAUCCAUUUGACUACGUGUACUCAAACCUCCCAGCCAACACACACAUCCUGAAGCACGCCACAAACUGCGACCACUGCAAGGGAUUCUGCUGUUGCAGUGGGCAAAUCGAGCUGAAGGAACCGGAGCCCAUCCCGGAGCUCAUGAGGCUUUCGUCUAGCACUGAUGCGGACUCUAGGCAUUUUCGGGAG